RNAcentral lists this ribosomal RNA (878 nucleotides) under uncultured bacterium. RNAcentral's name for it is "bacterial SSU rRNA". It matches the Rfam family "Bacterial small subunit ribosomal RNA", at positions 493 to 1380 of the family's 1533-position model. The record is from RNAcentral.
CCGGCUAACUACGUGCCAGCAGCCGCGGUAAGACGUAGGAUCCGAGCGUUGUCCGGAGUUACUGGGCGUAAAGCGCGCGCAGGCGGACUGUCGCAUCGGCGGUGAAAGCCCCCCGCUCAACGGGGGAGGGUCCGUCGAGAUGGGCAAUCUGGAGGCAGGGAGAGGCGAGUGGAAUUCCGGGUGUAGUGGUGAAAUGCGUAGAGAUCCGGAGGAACACCAGUGGCGAAGGCGGCUCGCUGGACCUGACCUGACGCUGAGGCGCGAAGGCGUGGGGAGCGAACGGGAUUAGAUACCCCGGUAGUCCACGCAGUAAACGAUGGGUACUAGGUGUGGCGGGAGUUGACCCCUGCCGUGCCGGCGCUAACGCAGUAAGUACCCCGCCUGGGGAGUACGGCCGCAAGGCUAAAACUCAAAGGAAUUGACGGGGGCCCGCACAAGCAGCGGAGCGUGUGGUUUAAUUCGACGCAACGCGCAACACCUUACCACGGUUUGACAUCCACCGAACCUGCCUGAAAGGGCGGGGUGCCUUCGGGAGCGGUGAGACAGGUGCUGCAUGGCUGUCGUCAGCUCGUGUCGUGAGAUGUUGGGUUAAGUCCCGCAACGAGCGCAACCCCCGUGGCUAGUUACGAGGUGUGUCUAGCCAGACUGCCGGAACCAAACCGGAGGAAGGUGGGGAUGAUGUCAAGUCAGCAUGGCCCUUACACCGUGGGCGACACACACGCUACAAUGGCCGGGACAAUGGGCAGCCAAGCGGUAACGCGGAGCCAAUCCCCCAAACCCGGUCUCAGUUCAGAUCGUGGGCUGCAACUCGCCCACGUGAAGGCGGAGUUGCUAGUAACCGCCGGUCAGCAUUACGGCGGUGAAUAUGUUCCCGGGCC